CACGUAGGGUGCGAGCGUUGUCCGGAAUUAUUGGGCGUAAAGAGCUCGUAGGCGGUGUGUCGCGUCGGCCGUGAAAACCUGCAGCUUAACUGUGGGCUUGCGGUCGAUACGGGCAUCACUGGAGUUCGGCAGGGGAGACUGGAAUUCCUGGUGUAGCGGUGAAAUGCGCAGAUAUCAGGAGGAACACCGGUGGCGAAGGCGGGUCUCUGGGCCGAUACUGACGCUGAGGCACGAAGGUCAGGGGAGCAAACGGG
RNAcentral lists this ribosomal RNA (254 nucleotides) under uncultured bacterium. RNAcentral describes it as "partial 16S ribosomal RNA". It matches the Rfam family "Bacterial small subunit ribosomal RNA", at positions 524 to 776 of the family's 1533-position model. The record is from RNAcentral.